GCCAUGAGUCAUAGUUCUGGCCAAUGGAACAUAAGCACAUGACUGCUGGGAACGUCCUUCAAAGCGUUUUCCUGAUAAAAGGGCACAGACGCCUCUGGCACCUUUCUUUUUCCUUCUUCUUCUUAAAAGCAGGCAUGUCAGCUGUAGGUGCAGAAGCCAUGCUGGAACCAGGAGGCAACCAGCAAGAGGGCCUCAUCUACAGUCAGGACCACACACCCUUCCCCAUGGCUAAAGGAGAAUGGAAAAUACUGGAAUGUUAUAACUUUCCCUGGAACUUCCGACUUCUGAAUCCUGAACAACUGUGCUUUCAAGAUCGCCAAGUGGUCUCUGGCUUCCUCUUCUCCUGCUUCUCCCCCAUUAUUAUUAGAUACAGAGUAAUGGUUAACGUUUUGGUCAGAAGGUCCCAGGUGCCUACCCCAGCUCUGUUGGGAGAGCUGAGUAACUUGUGAAGCAACUUAAGUUCUUUCCACCCUCAAACUCCUCACUUGGAAAAUGAAUUCAUUUUACAUUUCAUUACGGAUUAUUAUAAAAUACAAACAAGUUAACAUAUAAACACAGAAUAAGUAUUUAAUAAAUAGUAGCCAUUGUUUUUAACAGGGUCUAUGCCAGUAAACAAGUCACAUCUGCCUCUCUGGGGCCACCUUACCCAACACCAUCAGCAUUCAUUCGCUGGGUCAUGGAUCUCCUUGUCUCCAGAGCAUCCUUAAUUCUCGAGAGGGGGUAAAAACGCACUGUUAUAAAGAAAUUAGAUUAAAUUUGUUUUUAAGUUUCAUUAUUUUAGUGGAAGAAGCUGGGAUAGAAUUAGAACAGCAGAGCUGCACAAAGGGAAACAAGAUAGAGGAGCGUCAGAGCACUGGGACGGGGAAGAAGAAAAUAGUAGGAAAAGGAGAAGGAAGUAGGACAAAUGUACAUUUGCCCCAGAGACAGUCCUAAUUAGGCUCUUUUCUUCUCUGUUGCUGUUUUUGCUUCCUUUGGUUUAAAAAUAAAGUGGCCUGUUUUAGCUCUAAUUAUGCCUUUUAUUUUCAUAUUUAUAAGAUUAAAAUUGCAUAACCUGCCCAGGACAAACUGUGAUCUAAGGCAUUUGAUGUGUGUGGGAGAAGCAAGGGAAAAAAGGCCUCCAGCCCAACCCGAGGAGGCAAAAUGCUUAUGGAGUAUGAGAACCUUGUUGACUUAAGUUUCUGGAUUGUUCUCCCAGGCAAGGAAAACCAUCUUAAAAAACAAACAAACUUGUAUUCUGGGGUAUUUCCCAGAAAAGACGCAGGUAUGGUUUAGUAAGUUGGAAUUUGGUUUUGUUUUUGGAGCUUCAGCCGGGUGGUAAAAGGUCAGCGCUGUGUUGUAAUCCACUCUGGUGCCUUCCUCCCGUAAUCCUAACCACAGCCC
This 1380-nucleotide long non-coding RNA is filed under the name Equus caballus (horse). RNAcentral describes it as "lncRNA (ENSECAG00000047514.1)". The record is from RNAcentral. Lineage: Eukaryota; Metazoa; Chordata; Mammalia; Perissodactyla; Equidae.